Molecule: ribosomal RNA, 528 nt
Filed under: uncultured bacterium
Lineage: Bacteria
Description: bacterial SSU rRNA
Rfam family: Bacterial small subunit ribosomal RNA
Source: RNAcentral
GUUGUCCGGAUUAUUGGGCGUAAAGCGCGCGCAGGCGGAUCAGUCAGUCUGUCUUAAAAGUUCGGGGCUUAACCCCGUGAUGGGAUGGAAACUGCCAAUCUAGAGUAUCGGAGAGGAAAGUGGAAUUCCUAGUGUAGCGGUGAAAUGCGUAGAUAUUAGGAAGAACACCAGUGGCGAAGGCGACUUUCUGGACGAAAACUGACGCUGAGGCGCGAAAGCCAGGGGAGCGAACGGGAUUAGAUACCCCGGUAGUCCUGGCCGUAAACGAUGGGUACUAGGUGUAGGAGGUAUCGACCCCUUCUGUGCCGGAGUUAACGCAAUAAGUACCCCGCCUGGGGAGUACGACCGCAAGGUUGAAACUCAAAGGAAUUGACGGGGGCCCGCACAAGCGGUGGAGUAUGUGGUUUAAUUCGACGCAACGCGAAGAACCUUACCAGGUCUUGACAUUGAUGGACAGAACUAGAGAUAGUUCCUCUUCUUCGGAAGCCAGAAAACAGGUGGUGCACGGUUGUCGUCAGCUCGUGUCGU